GAGUGCAACAAAACUACAGUUCCCAUGAUGCAACGACAGCGCUUUAUUUAUAGGACCCGGAAGAGGUGUGCAGUUGGCGUUGUUUUGUUCAGUGAAAUUUAGCGACCUAUAUAGACAGAGCAGAUAUAGACGAGGUUAUGGCGUCUUCUCCUAAAGUAAAGAGAACCACUAAAACUAGAGAUGAGAAAGCUGCACAAAAUCUUCCCAGAUCCCAGAAGGAUGCAUAUGCCAGACUUCUGAAUCAGCAUCAGAAUGGCAAGUUUCGUUCUUACUUGCAAGAGUUUGCAAAGCAGCAGGUGGAGGAGAACAUGAGGACCUCAGUUAGCAGGUCUGUGAAUGAUAUAAAUAGGAGAAAAAAAGGCAAUUCAGAAUCAUCUAAUUCUGGUGAUAGCUUAUCCUCUCAGCAGAGUAGACAAAUGGCUGACACUUCUAACUAUUUGCACACGGACAAAAAAAUCCAUCAGGCAGCUUGCACUGAAGUCCAGGGCAUGAAGCCUGGCAUGCUGGAAAAGCAUGCCAAAACGGAGUUACAUAAUGCUGCUGCACCCAAAAAGGUACCCUCAAAACAGGAGAGAAGUGAAAAAGACAUCAAAGGGAGCAAAAGUCUAGUGGGAUCUGAGGAAGGUGACGCUCAACAGUUGAGCGGUUCAUGUGGGGAGGAAAAAGCAAAGAAAAAAUCAAAGAAGAGGAGAUCAAAAAAAAAUGUGGAGAAAAAAGACAAGGGGGCAUGUGGUCCUGAAGUUGACACCAUUGUUGCUGGGAAGUCACCAAAUAAAAACAUCAAAGCUUCUCAAGUGUCAAAAGAAGGUUUACGUCAAAAUGACAAAGAUAAAAACACUAAAGACUGUAGAGGCUCCCGGAAGCAACUGUUCGAGCAGUACAUGUCCACUGAGGAUGUUUCUGCAGGCCUAAAGAGAGGAGAACUCAUUCAGGGAUUACUGAGAAUAAACCCUAAGAAGUACAAGGAAGCUUUUGUCCCAUCUCCUGAUGGGUCAGCCGAUAUCUUUCUGGAUGGGAUUGCAGCUCGUAACAGGGCUCUCAAUGGAGAUGUUGUUGUGGUGAAAGUUCUCCCCCCUGAACAGUGGAAGGCACUCAAUGGAGAUAUAAAUGAGAGAACUCUAGCCAGUCAGAAUGUGCCAAAGGCUGAUGUCAUAGUUGAGGCCCAUUACAAUGAAGAUGAUGAGGUGAUCAGUAAAAUGAAGAGUGCCAGUCUCCAUGAUAAAGCCCCUAUCACAACACAUUCUGUCAAACAAGCAAAUGCAUGCUACACUUCUGGAUCAAGUUCAGAGAGAGCUAUGCAAAGGACUGGAAAGGUUGUAUUCAUUGCUGAAAAGAAGCACUCAAGAGCAGCAUCAGGCUUCCUCAAAUUUUUCCCCAACAAGAAUUUUGCUAUGUUCUCUCCUGUGGACCAUCGGGUCCCGAGAGUUAAUGUGCCUCUAGCAGACUGUCCUGCAGACUUUACCUCCAGACCUGAAGACUAUGAAAACACACUCUUCAUCUGCCGAAUAACACAGUGGCCGGUAGACAACAACUUUGCUGAAGGGCGGCUUGCAAAAACAUUAGGGCAAGCAGGUGAAAUAGAGGCGGAAACAGAAGGCAUCCUGACUGAAUAUGAUGUUGACUUCUCAGAGUUUUCAGAGGAUGUCUUUAAUUGUCUUCCCCAAAAUCUGCCCUGGAGCAUUCCUGAUCAUGAGCUCUCUAAAAGAAGAGAUCUCAGAAAAGAAUGCAUAUUUACCAUCGACCCAGCUACAGCCAGAGAUCUGGAUGAUGCACUGUCCUGCAAACAACUCUCGGAUGGCAAUUUUGAAGUUGGUGUUCAUAUAGCUGAUGUGAGUUACUUCGUGGAGGAAGGAAAUGCCUUGGAUCAAAUUGCUGGCCAAAGAGCCACGAGUGUUUAUCUAGUCCAAAAGGUGAUCCCCAUGUUGCCUCGUCUUCUUUGUGAGGAGCUAUGCAGCUUGAAUUCUCUGACCGAUAGACUGACAUUCUCUGUCAUUUGGAAGCUUUCUCCAGAGGGAAAGAUCUUGAGUGAGUGGUUUGGCCGAACUGUCAUCUGUUCCUGCAUUCAGUUGAGUUAUGAUCAUGCUCAGAGUAUGAUUGAAGCUCCUGACAAGCACUUUAGUGCUGAAGAACUGCCAUCCUGCUCCCCAGACCACAGCAUCCAAGAGAUACAAGAGGCUGUCCUCAACUUGCACAAUAUUGCCAAACAACUCCGAGCCCAACGCUUUGAGUGUGGAGCUCUCCGGCUUGACCAGCUUAAGCUAUCUUUCACCCUCGAUAAGGAGUCCAGCAUGCCUCAGGGCUGUUAUAUCUAUCAGUAUCGGGACAGCAACAAACUGGUGGAGGAGUUCAUGUUGCUGGCAAACAUGGCGGUUGCCCAUCAGAUCUACCGCACAUACCCAGAGUUAGCCCUACUGCGGAGACAUCCGCCACCCCAGAGCAAGAUGGUGGAUGACCUGCAGGAGUUUUGUGAACAGAUGGGCCUUGACAUUGACUUCUCCUCAUCUGGAGCACUCCAUAGGAGUCUGAAUGAAAACUUUGGUGAUGACAAGUAUACGGCUGCCAGAAAAGAAGUUCUCACUCACAUGUGCUCCAGGCCAAUGCAGAUGGCAGUGUAUUUCUGUACUGGAGCUCUGAAGGAUGAGAAGUUCUUCUGUCAUUAUGCUCUGAAUGUGCCUCUCUACACACACUUCACUUCACCUAUACGACGCUAUGCUGAUGUCAUAGUGCACCGUCUACUGGCCGCCUCCAUUGACUGUGGGCCAUGUUUGAGUCUCUCAGGAGAGGAAGUACACAAACAGGCAUCCCACUGCAAUGACAGGAAGACUGCUUCAAAGAGAGUUCAAGAGUUGAGCUCUGAACUUUUCUUUGCUGUCUUUGUGAAGGAUUGUGGUCCUCUGGAUUCAGAGGCUAUGGUCAUGGGGGUUCUGGACCAGUCCUUUGAUGUGCUUGUGCUUCGCUACGGAGUGCAGAAACGAAUCUACUGUAAUGAGCAGACUGGGAGUGGCCUUGGGUGGCAACAUCCCCAGUGCAUUAUGGGUUUGGAAGUUUUCCAACCUAUUUGGAAAAAGGGAAGACGACAGCACCUUUUUGUUUUCUUUGUCAGUCAUUAGAGGGACUAAAGGCGGUCCACUUCAGUAAAGUGGGAAAGAGACCAAAGAUGAUGCUUUUUUGGGAAACAGAUGACCCAAGCAACGAGUCCAUACAACAGGAGAUCUCCAUCUUUACCCUGUUGAAUGUUCAGCUGAAGGCAGAUAGAGCUCCAAUGAAAUACAGUGCUGUGCUCAAGAGACCCUAAGCACUUGUUUAUUCUUAACCAAACAGAAGUAUCGAUAUUGGUGAAGGCUUCUCCUCUGCACCAGUAAACCAUGAACUCAGUUUUAUGUGAUUUUAUUGUUUUUUUUAGGAUUUUGUUCUGAAAUCUUUCAAAUGUACAUUUCUUUUAAUUUGAGAAUGUUCAAGUUGAAAUAUUUGAAAUAUUUUUGUUUUUGCCUCAGGAAGUGUUAAGUGAAGGUUUUGUGUUCAGGGAUUGUGCCAUAAGUUUAAGUAUCUCUAUUUUGAAACAAAAUGAAAUCCACCCUGAUUCAGAGAAUAGUUUCCAAAGUGAAUUUUAGUUACUUUUUGGUGUCAGUAUUGUAACACUUCCACCAUUGUGUGCUUUGUAACAUUUGGGCAUUAUUUUUGUUCUGCCUUAAACCUUUAAGUAUGUGCAGCCUUUGUUUGAGAGAUAAUCACUUCAGAAAUGCCGUUUGUCAACUUCAGAAGUUGCAGAUAUGUUAAUGACCCCCCCCCAAUGGGAAGCAUUGAGCCCUUAACAAAAAUAACAUUUUAAAAAGUGAUUUUUGGACUAUAUAUUAGCUUGGCUGAGAGAUUGCUUUGUUUUGUUGCAAAUACUGGAUCUGUUUCUAAGACAUUUGGGUGAAUCAUUUGUUAUCUAUUGAUAGAUCCUUUUUUAAUUAUUUUCGAGAAUUAAUUGUAAGGCAUCAAAACUUUUGGGACCGCUCCAUAAGAAAACAUCUGGCAGAAUUUUUUACUUAAUCACUCCAUUGCUGGUGUCUGAUGUAUGUAAAUGUAUUGCCCCAAAUACCCCAAACACUUGAAUGUUGUUUUACAUACACUGAACGUCUGUUUGACGUCUUUAGGAAAUGUUUUUAUGUGUAAUUUGUCUCUUUUAAUGCAUUUCAUUUAAUGUUUUCAUGUUUAUUUUUGCACAUGGAAUUUUAGUAAUUGUUUCAGAUAUAUCAACUAUUUACUUAUAAACUAUUGAUCUUGCCAACAAUGUCUUUUCUACUGUGUAGUGUGAUAUGCCAUCCUUGGGACCAGUAUAAAUUGCUAAAAUAGACAAGACUAUAUAACAUGUCAGAAAGACUAGAAAAAGGCAGCUGGGCUUAACUUCAUUUAAACAAUUAAGUUCAGUUGAAGAAGCUAUACAGUUAGCAAGAAAGCUGCCAUGUGAUAUGACAAAAAAAAAUAGCUUUUUGUUUAUUUUACAAGAACUGCUGUGUAAAUAAAGUGGGGAAAAGAGUUGUCCAGUUGUUGUAAGGUUGGAACCAAGCGUGCCACAUGAGUCCUGAAAAGUGAAGCCAAAGCGUCUCGAUCGCCCCCAGGUGGCUGGAUGCAGUAUAGGUCAUAAACCCCACCCUCUCCUUGUAAUGUUAUGAAACGUGAAAUUAAACAGUCAAAUUACUCAUCAUUGUUUUUUUUUUCCAAAGAUUUUGGAAAAAGGUUUCUGUCAUUUUAGGCAGUUUUUAUCACGCUGAUAUUAGUUAGUGUUCUAUCUUUAAAUUUAAGUUUGUUUUUGGUAAUUUAAUGCUAUAAAAACACGGGUUUUGACGUCAUGAUUGACAGCGAAGAUUGACAACUUCUCUGAGUGAAGUAGUCACUGAAGUACCAAUGGACUUUUUUCUGGAUCUUCAGGAGGAUAUUGGAGCUUUAACUUUAAUUUCUACAUUUCCAGAACUGUUUUUUUUUUUUUUUUUUUUUUUUUUCACACCGACAUAAUUAGUAGUUCUGCAGAAUUAACCAAUCCUGCGAGAGUGUGGGCGGGACCUUGAUACGAUGGCUCUACUUCGCGCUCACUACUGCGCAGACUCAGGCUCCAAGUUCACUAUGCGCAGAUUCGAGACUCAAGAUGUCAGCGCCAUAUUGGCACACUGGCGGCUUCACUUACUACAAUGGAAGAGAGUGAAGGUGCGUCGUCCAUCAUUUUUUACAGUCUAUGGUUGGAACACGCCAAUAUCCAUAUAUGAAAUGUCAAAGUUUUAAAUCUGCAUAUGGUGUUUAAUUAGAGACUUGUGUUGUAAGUACUCUGUUAGGGGUUAAAUUUGAUGUAAGUGCACAUUUGUUGUAACACUGGUCUAAAAAUGUAGUCCUAAAAUAUAUAAACAAUGUGAGUAGUGGGGAAAAAACCUGUGGUGUUUGGCAAAUGAAUGUGGUGAAGUGUGAUACUGACUGCGAAACUAAUAAAAACCACUUCCAAGUU
Ctenopharyngodon idella (grass carp) is the source of this 5479-nucleotide RNA transcript. It is a transcript of the gene named DIS3 like 3'-5' exoribonuclease 2, with no coding region annotated. NCBI's taxonomy places the organism in Eukaryota, Metazoa, Chordata, Actinopteri, Cypriniformes, Xenocyprididae. The transcript has 22 exons. The record is from RefSeq and is a predicted model, not a curated record.